Molecule: ribosomal RNA, 253 nt
Filed under: uncultured bacterium
Lineage: Bacteria
Description: partial 16S ribosomal RNA
Rfam family: Bacterial small subunit ribosomal RNA
Source: RNAcentral
GACGAACCGUGCGAACGUUGUUCGGAAUCACUGGGCUUAAAGGGCGCGUAGGCGGGUGUGCAAGUCUGUGGUGAAAGCCUCCAGCUUAACUGGAGAAGUGCCGUGGAUACUGCACAUCUUGAGGAGGGUAGGGGCAUCUGGAACGGUCGGUGGAGCGGUGAAAUGCGUUGAUAUCGACCGGAACUCCGGUGGCGAAGGCGAGGUGCUGGACCCUUUCUGACGCUGAGGCGCGAAAGCGUGGGGAGCAAACAGG